This 1370-nucleotide ribosomal RNA is filed under the name Tetrahymena mcdonaldae. RNAcentral describes it as "SSU rRNA". It matches the Rfam family "Eukaryotic small subunit ribosomal RNA", at positions 192 to 1619 of the family's 1831-position model. Lineage: Eukaryota; Ciliophora; Oligohymenophorea; Hymenostomatida; Tetrahymenidae. The record is from RNAcentral.
GCGACCGGAACGUAUUUAUUAGAUAUUAGACCAAUCGCAGCAAUGUGAUUGAGAUGAAUCAAAGUAACUGAUCGAAUCGUAGCUUGCUACGAUAAAUCAUCUAAGUUUCUGCCCUAUCAGCUCUCGAUGGUAGUGUAUUGGACUACCAUGGCAGUCACGGGUAACGGAGAAUUAGGGUUCGAUUCCGGAGAAGGAGCCUGAGAAACGGCUACUACAACUACGGUUCGGCAGCAGGGAAGAAAAUUGGCCAAUCCUAAUUCAGGGAGCCAGUGACAAGAAAUAGCAAGCUGGGAAACUAAGUUUCUACGGCAUUGAAAUGAGAAAAGUGUUAAUCUCUUAGCGAGGAACAAUUGGAGGGCAAGUCAUGGUGCCAGCAGCCGCGGUAAUUCCAGCUCCAAUAGCGUAUAUUAAAGUUGUUGCAGUUAAAAAGCUCGUAGUUGAACUUCUGUUCAGGUUCAUUUCGACUCGUCGAGUGAAACUGGGCAUACGUCUGCAAACUAAAAUCGGCCUUCACUGGUUCGACUUAGGGAGUAGGCAUUUUACUGUGAAAAAAUUAGAGUGUUUCAGGCAGGUUUUAGCCCGAAUACAUUAGCAUGGAAUAAUGGAAUAGGACUAAGUCCAUUUUAUUGGUUCUUGGAUUUGGUAAUGAUUAAUAGGGACAGUUGGGGGCAUUAGUAUUUAAUAGUCAGAGGUGAAAUUCUUGGAUUUAUUAAGGACUAACUAAUGCGAAAGCAUUUGCCAAAGAUGUUUUCAUUAAUCAAGAACGAAAGUUAGGGGAUCAAAGACGAUCAGAUACCGUCGUAGUCUUAACUAUAAACUAUACCGACUCGGGAUCGGCUGGAAUAUAUGUCCAGUCGGCACCGUAUGAGAAAUCAAAGUCUUUGGGUUCUGGGGGAAGUAUGGUACGCAAGUCUGAAACUUAAAGGAAUUGACGGAACAGCACACCAGAAGUGGAACCUGCGGCUUAAUUUGACUCAACACGGGGAAACUCACGAGCGCAAGACAGAGAAGGGAUUGACAGAUUGAGAGCUCUUUCUUGAUUCUUUGGGUGGUGGUGCAUGGCCGUUCUUAGUUGGUGGAGUGAUUUGUCUGGUUAAUUCCGUUAACGAACGAGACCUUAACCUGCUAACUAGUCUGCCUGUGAACAACAGGUUGUACUUCUUAGAGGGACUAUUGUGCAAGAAGCCAAUGGAAGUUUAAGGCAAUAACAGGUCUGUGAUGCCCCUAGACGUGCUCGGCCGCACGCGCGUUACAAUGACUGGCGCAGAAAGUAUUUCCUGUCCUGGGAAGGUACGGGUAAUCUUAUUAAUACCAGUCGUGUUAGGGAUAGUUCUUUGGAAUUUUGGAUCUUGAACGAGGAAUUUCUAGUA